Molecule: ribosomal RNA, 379 nt
Filed under: uncultured bacterium
Lineage: Bacteria
Description: partial 16S ribosomal RNA
Rfam family: Bacterial small subunit ribosomal RNA
Source: RNAcentral
CCUACGGGAGUCAGCAGUGGGGGAUAUUGCACAAUGGGGGAAACCCUGAUGCAGCGACGCCGCGUGGGUGAAGAAGCGCCUCGGCGCGUAAAGCCCUGUCAGCAGGGAAGAAAAUGACGGUACCUGAAGAAGAAGCCCCGGCUAACUACGUGCCAGCAGCCGCGGUAAUACGAAGGGGGCAAGCGUUAUCCGGAUUUACUGGGUGUAAAGGGGGCGCAGACGGCGAUGCAAGCCAGGCGUGAAAUCCCGGGGCCCAACCCCGGGACUGCUCUUGGGACUGCGUGGCUAGAGUGCAGGAGGGGAAGGCGGAAUACCUAGUGUAGCGGUGAAAUGCGUAGAUAUCAGGAGGAACACCGGUGGCGAAGGCGGCCAGCUGGAC